UACACUCCUGCGGGAGGCAGCAGUGGGGAAUUUUGGACAAUGGGCGAAAGCCUGAUCCAGCAAUGCCGCGUGAGUGAAGAAGGCCUUCGGGUUGUAAAGCUCUUUUGUCAGGGAAGAAACGGUGAGAGCUAAUAUCUCUUGCUAAUGACGGUACCUGAAGAAUAAGCACCGGCUAACUACGUGCCAGCAGCCGCGGUAAUACGUAGGGUGCAAGCGUUAAUCGGAAUUACUGGGCGUAAAGCGUGCGCAGGCGGUUUUGUAAGUCUGAUGUGAAAUCCCCGGGCUCAACCUGGGAAUUGCAUUGGAGACUGCAAGGCUAGAAUCUGGCAGAGGGGGGUAGAAUUCCACGUGUAGCAGUGAAAUGCGUAGAUAUGUGGAGGAACACCGAUGGCGAAGGCAGCCCCCUGGGUCAAGAUUGACGCUCAUGCACGAAAGCGUGGGGAGCAAACAGGAUUAGAAACCCUGGUAGUCCC
RNAcentral lists this ribosomal RNA (473 nucleotides) under uncultured organism. RNAcentral's name for it is "partial 16S ribosomal RNA". It matches the Rfam family "Bacterial small subunit ribosomal RNA", at positions 332 to 797 of the family's 1533-position model. The record is from RNAcentral.